Molecule: ribosomal RNA, 460 nt
Filed under: uncultured bacterium
Lineage: Bacteria
Description: partial 16S ribosomal RNA
Rfam family: Bacterial small subunit ribosomal RNA
Source: RNAcentral
CCUACGGGUGGCUGCAGUGAGGAAUAUUGGUCAAUGGACGAGAGUCUGAACCAGCCAAGUAGCGUGAAGGAUGACUGCCCUAUGGGUUGUAAACUUCUUUUAUAUGGGAAUAAAACGUUCCACGAGCGGGAUUUUGUAUGUACCAUAUGAAUAAGGAUCGGCUAACUCCGUGCCAGCAGCCGCGGUAAUACGGAGGAUCCGAGCGUUAUCCGGAUUUAUUGGGUGUAAAGGGAGCGUAGGUGGAUUGUUAAGUCAGUUGUGAAAGUUUGCGGCUCAACCGUAAAAUUGCAGUUGAAACUGGCAGUCUUGAGUACAGUAGAGGUGAGCGGAAUUCGUGGUGUAGCGGUGAAAUGCUUAGAUAUCACGAAGAACUCCGAGUGCGAAGGCAGUUCACUGGACUGCAACUGACACUGAGGCUCGAAAGUGUGGGUAUCAAACAGGAUUAGAUACCCUUGUAGUC